RNAcentral lists this ribosomal RNA (524 nucleotides) under uncultured bacterium. Its description in RNAcentral is "partial 16S ribosomal RNA". It matches the Rfam family "Bacterial small subunit ribosomal RNA", at positions 28 to 523 of the family's 1533-position model. The record is from RNAcentral.
GACGAACGCUGGCGGCGUGCUUAACACAUGCAAGUCGAACGGACAGACAGAGAGCUUGCUCUCUUGAAGUUAGUGGCGAACGGGUAAGUAACGCGUAAUCAACCUGCCCUUCAGAGGGGGAUAACAACGGGAAACCGUUGCUAAUACCGCGUACGAUUCAUGAACGGCAUCGUUUAUGAAUGAAAGGUGGCCUCUAUGUAUAAGCUAUCGCUGAAGGAGGGGAUUGCGUCUGAUUAGCUAGUUGGAGGGGUAACGGCCCACCAAUGCAAUGAUCAGUAGCCGGUCUGCGAGGAUGAGCGGCCACAUUGGGACUGAGACACGGCCCAAACUCCUACGGGAGGCAGCAGUGGGGAAUCUUCCGCAAUGGACGAAAGUCUGACGGAGCAACGCCGCGUGAGUGAUGAAGGUCUUCGGAUUGUAAAGCUCUGUUAAUCGGGACGAAAGAGUUCUGCGUGAAUAAUGCAGAAAAGUGACGGUACCGGAAUAGAAAGCCACGGCUAACUACGUGCCAGCCGCCGCCGUAA